Molecule: ribosomal RNA, 446 nt
Filed under: uncultured bacterium
Lineage: Bacteria
Description: partial 16S ribosomal RNA
Rfam family: Bacterial small subunit ribosomal RNA
Source: RNAcentral
CCUACGGGUGGCAGCAGUCGAGAAUCAUUCACAAUGGGGGAAACCCUGAUGGUGCGACGCCGCGUGGGGGAAUGAAGGUCUUCGGAUUGUAAACCCCUGUCAUGUGGGAGCAAAUUAAAAAGAUAGUACCACAAGAGGAAGAGACGGCUAACUCUGUGCCAGCAGCCGCGGUAAUACAGAGGUCUCAAGCGUUGUUCGGAAUCACUGGGCGUAAAGCGUGCGUAGGCUGUUUCGUAAGUCGUGUGUGAAAGGCGCGGGCUCAACCCGCGGACGGCACAUGAUACUGCGAGACUAGAGUAAGGGAGGGGGAACCGGAAGUCUCGGUGUAGCAGUGAAAUGCGUAGAUAUCGAGAGGAACACUCGUGGCGAAGGCGGGUUCCUGGACAUUAACUGACGCUGAGGCACGAAGGCCAGGGGAGCGAAAGGGAUUAGAUACCCGUGUAGUC